RNAcentral lists this non-coding RNA (272 nucleotides) under Exiguobacterium sp. RNAcentral's name for it is "T-box sequence". It matches the Rfam family "T-box leader". Rfam says of the family: Uncharged tRNA acts as the effector for transcription antitermination of genes in the T-box leader family. T-boxes are found upstream of many aminoacyl-tRNA synthetase genes and some amino acid biosynthetic genes usually in Gram-positive bacteria. Lineage: Bacteria; Bacillati; Bacillota; Bacilli; Caryophanales. The record is from RNAcentral.
GAAAAUGCGUUGAAGAGAAAAGUAAAUCGAGUUCGUUUUUAUACAGAGAACCUUGUAAGCUGAGAAAAGGUAAAAGACACUCGAUUGAAAAUGGUCUCUGAGCUUCGUCCUGAACGUGUGGAUUCACAAGUAGGAGGCGACGGGAUUUGGCAUCCGUUAUCCAUGUCACGGUAUUCGUGUAUAGCAUGAUACACAGUACUUGUAGAGGCAUCUGAUGUGAAUCAGAUUGCGAAUUAAGGUGGUACCGCGAGAAUUCAAACCUCGCCCUUAAC